This 1077-nucleotide long non-coding RNA is filed under the name Equus caballus (horse). Its description in RNAcentral is "lncRNA (ENSECAG00000054399.1)". Lineage: Eukaryota; Metazoa; Chordata; Mammalia; Perissodactyla; Equidae. The record is from RNAcentral.
CGGCAUCCCACAUAAAACAGAGGAAGAUGGCACAGGUGUUAGCUCAAUGUCAAGCUUCCUCAAGCAAAAAGAGGAAGAUUGGCAACAAUGUUAGCUCAGGGCCAAUCUUCCUCACACACACACACAAAAUAUCUGACAGAGGGGCCAGUCCCCAUGGCCUAGUGAUUAAAUUUGGUGGGCUCCACUUUGGCAGCUAGGGUUCCAUUCCUGGGCGCAGACAUACACCACUCGCCUGUCAGUGGCUAUGCUGUGCUGGCAGCUCAAAUACAAAUAGAGGAAGAUUGGCAAUGGAUGUUAGCUCAGGCGAAACUUCCUCAGCAAAAACAAUUAUAAAUAUAUAUAUCUGACAGAGGCCUUUUUUAUAUGGAAAGAGUUACUUACAGUUGCUUGGUUUUCAUUAAUAUUCAAUUUAAUAAAGUUGAAAGUUUAAAAUAUAGCUUUCUCUUAAGCCUUUAAGCUCAAUGUACUAAUCGGGUUAAUUUAUUCAUAAAUUAGUAAUUAGUAAUUUUGUAUAAAAAUAACAUUGCUUUCACUUAUUCUUUAAUUCAUAUUCAGUUAAGUUUAACCGAUAAUAUUUCCUUAAACAUUUAACCCCAUUUAACUAUUAUGGUUCAUUAAAUCCCCUUAAACGUUUUAAAUUAUAAUCCCAAACUUAAUAUAUUUGAUUCUCUCAAGGGUGUCAGACAUCCAACAAGGCUGAUGACUGAUAAGAUAAACAAACCUUGUCUCGCGUGGAAACUCCAGUUACAAUCUGAAGGCAUCUGGGAACACCUAAAAACACGUCAACCUUCCAGGGAGUCAAACACUAUUUUCCAAAUUAAAUAAAUCUUCAUGCAUGUUUUAAAGUAAAAUGAUGUCUAGUAAUAAAUGUUUCAAAUUAAAAUAAUAUGAUUAGUAUGUCAUAUUUUCUUCAAUGUUUAGAACACCUUAAAUAACAAUUACAUAUAAUUUUUCAUGAUAGUUAUAAAACAUCCUUAAACGUCACAUGGAAGUAUUAAUCCUGUGAGUUUCGCUUGCUUUACCACCUCUGUGCUUUAUUACGAACCUCCCUGAGUGGGAAAGUCACUUCUGGACGCG